AACUGAAGAGUUUGAUCAUGGCUCAGAUUGAACGCUGGCGGCAGGCUUAACACAUGCAAGUCGAGCGGGGGAAGGUAGCUUGCUACUGGACCUAGCGGCGGACGGGUG
Molecule: ribosomal RNA, 108 nt
Filed under: Acinetobacter baumannii
Lineage: Bacteria; Pseudomonadati; Pseudomonadota; Gammaproteobacteria; Moraxellales; Moraxellaceae
Description: partial 16S ribosomal RNA
Rfam family: Bacterial small subunit ribosomal RNA
Source: RNAcentral